Molecule: ribosomal RNA, 331 nt
Filed under: uncultured Lactobacillus sp.
Lineage: Bacteria; Bacillati; Bacillota; Bacilli; Lactobacillales; Lactobacillaceae
Description: bacterial SSU rRNA
Rfam family: Bacterial small subunit ribosomal RNA
Source: RNAcentral
UCAGACGUUUACGGUAUUCAACCAGAAAGCCACGGCUAACUACGUGCCAGCAGCCGCGGUAAUACGUAGGUGGCAAGCGUUAUCCGGAUUUAUUGGGCGUAAAGCGAGCGCAGGCGGUUUUUUAAGUCUGAUGUGAAAGCCCUCGGCUUAACCGAGGAAGUGCAUCGGAAACUGGGAAACUUGAAUGCUGAAGAGGACAGUGGAACUCCAUGUGUAGCGGUGAAAUGCGUAGAUAUAUGGAAGAACACCAGUGGCGAAGGCGGCUGUCUGGUCAGUUAUUGACGCUGAGGCUCGAAAGCAUGGGUAGCGAACAGGAUUAGAUACCCUGGUA